GAGAGGUGGCUGAAUUGGUUAAAGCACUUCCCUGCUAAGGAAGCGUGGGGCAACCCGCGUGCAGGUUCAAAUCCUGUCCUCUC
RNAcentral lists this transfer RNA (83 nucleotides) under Cyanobacteria bacterium UBA11148. RNAcentral describes it as "tRNA-Ser". It matches the Rfam family "tRNA". Rfam says of the family: Transfer RNA (tRNA) molecules are approximately 80 nucleotides in length. Their secondary structure includes four short double-helical elements and three loops (D, anti-codon, and T loops). Further hydrogen bonds mediate the characteristic L-shaped molecular structure. tRNAs have two regions of fundamental functional importance: the anti-codon, which is responsible for specific mRNA codon recognition, and the 3' end, to which the tRNAs corresponding amino acid is attached (by aminoacyl-tRNA synthetases). tRNAs cope with the degeneracy of the genetic code in two manners: having more than one tRNA (with a specific anti-codon) for a particular amino acid; and 'wobble' base-pairing, i.e. permitting non-standard base-pairing at the 3rd anti-codon position. The record is from RNAcentral. Lineage: Bacteria; Bacillati; Cyanobacteriota.